RNAcentral lists this ribosomal RNA (1346 nucleotides) under uncultured bacterium. Its description in RNAcentral is "partial 16S ribosomal RNA". It matches the Rfam family "Bacterial small subunit ribosomal RNA", at positions 28 to 1381 of the family's 1533-position model. The record is from RNAcentral.
GACGAACGCUGGCGGCGUGCUUAACACAUGCAAGUCGAACGGAAAGGCCCUGCUUUUGUGGGGUGCUCGAGUGGCGAACGGGUGAGUAACACGUGAGUAACCUGCCCUUGACUUUGGGAUAACUUCAGGAAACUGGGGCUAAUACCGGAUAGGAGCUCCUGCUGCAUGGUGGGGGUUGGAAAGUUUCGGCGGUUGGGGAUGGACUCGCGGCUUAUCAGCUUGUUGGUGGGGUAGUGGCUUACCAAGGCUUUGACGGGUAGCCGGCCUGAGAGGGUGACCGGCCACAUUGGGACUGAGAUACGGCCCAGACUCCUACGGGAGGCAGCAGUGGGGAAUAUUGCACAAUGGGCGGAGGCCUGAUGCAGCAACGCCGCGUGCGGGAUGACGGCCUUCGGGUUGUAAACCGCUUUCGCCUGUGACGAAGCGUGAGUGACGGUAAUGGGUAAAGAAGCACCGGCUAACUACGUGCCAGCAGCCGCGGUGAUACGUAGGGUGCGAGCGUUGUCCGGAUUUAUUGGGCGUAAAGGGCUCGUAGGUGGUUGAUCGCGUCGGAAGUGUAAUCUUGGGGCUUAACCCUGAGCGUGCUUUCGAUACGGGUUGACUUGAGGAAGGUAGGGGAGAAUGGAAUUCCUGGUGGAGCGGUGGAAUGCGCAGAUAUCAGGAGGAACACCAGUGGCGAAGGCGGUUCUCUGGGCCUUUCCUGACGCUGAGGAGCGAAAGCGUGGGGAGCGAACAGGCUUAGAUACCCUGGUAGUCCACGCUGUAAACGGUGGGUACUAGGUGUGGGGUCCAUUCCACGGGUUCCGUGCCGUAGCUAACGCUUUAAGUACCCCGCCUGGGGAGUACGGCCGCAAGGCUAAAACUCAAAGGAAUUGACGGGGCCCCGCACAAGCGGCGGAGCAUGCGGAUUAAUUCGAUGCAACGCGUAGAACCUUACCUGGGUUUGACAUGGAUCGGGAGUGCUCAGAGAUGGGUGUGCCUCUUUUGGGGUCGGUUCACAGGUGGUGCAUGGCUGUCGUCAGCUCGUGUCGUGAGAUGUUGGGUUAAGUCCCGCAACGAGCGCAACCCUUGUUCACUGUUGCCAGCACGUUAUGGUGGGGACUCAGUGGAGACCGCCGGGGUCAACUCGGUGGAAGGUGGGGAUGACGUCAAGUCAUCAUGCCCCUUAUGUCCAGGGCUUCACGCAUGCUACAAUGGCUGGUACAGAGAGUGGCGAGCCUGUGAGGGUGAGCGAAUCUCGGAAAGCCGGUCUCAGUUCGGAUUGGGGUCUGCAACUCGACCUCAUGAAGUCGGAGUCGCUAGUAAUCGCAGAUCAGCAACGCUGCGGUGAAUACGUUCCCGGGGCU